This 1400-nucleotide long non-coding RNA is filed under the name Piliocolobus tephrosceles (Ugandan red Colobus). RNAcentral describes it as "lncRNA (ENSPTEG00000014182.1)". Lineage: Eukaryota; Metazoa; Chordata; Mammalia; Primates; Cercopithecidae. The record is from RNAcentral.
AUCACAUCUCUCCCAGGCUCCUCCAGCCUCACCUGGUGGACUCUAUGAGAACCACAGGCCUCACCUCCAUGGGCAGUCUCAAAACAUUUGCCCUCCUGUGGGCUGUCACAUCCAUUGACCCAGACUUUCUUGGAGAAGAAAUUCUGAAGAAGCAAAAGCAACCAACUCAAAACCCCCACUUCCCCCAGAAGAAAACAUGGGCAAGCAGAUGCAAAAGUGCAGCAGCCAAAGUCUGCGAGUUCCUGCGGGGGCCAGGGGAGGGGCAAGUCCUACGGAAAACUUUUAACAGAGAGCGCUUUGAACACCGCCUGCCAGGGAAGGCAAGCCCCAGUCGGGCGGAAGGUAGCUGGCUGCUGGGCGCGGCGGCGGAGGGAGGCGCCCACCGCCACAGAGGACUCCCAGGAGUGGAACCCAGACUUGCUGGUCUGAGCCAUGCACAAGGCGGGGCUGCUAGGCCACUGUGUCCGGGCAUGGAAGUCGGUGCGGAUGGCCAGCUCCCGGAUGACCCGCCGGGAUCUGCUCGCGAAUAAGGUGGCCCCUGGUAACGGCCUCCACCGACGGGUGAGUGUUGGUGCUGGAGUUUCUGAGGCCCUCGCUGCCUGCAAACAGGCACUGGUUUCUUCUUUGCUUCCAGUGCCCCUGUCCUUAGAACUCACGUGUGGCCGAAGUCUGGCCCUGGAAAAAAGUAGUCACGUGAUCCGCCUGAAACCCCUCCAAAUGCCCAGGCCCUGGGCCUUCCCUUGCUAGCCCUCGUGUCCCUGCUGCCUCUGGCACAACUGUGCCACCUCCGUACAACCCCAUCGAUCUAUUCCCCUCCUGGGUUCUGGGCUGCCCCAGUCAACCAGCCCUACCUAGCCUCCGGGAAAACCAGAAACUAGAAAUCCAAGGAAAUCUGGAUUUCAAAAUCCUAUCCCAAGGCCUCCAGCUUUAUUAAAAUGUACCAGACACUCUAUUUGGACACCGGAAAGUCUCCAGGAACCCCUCCCCCUUACCUAGAUGGGACACAAGAGCCAUGUGUCAAGAUUUUUGUUUAGUUCGGUACACCUGGGCCUACCUUGCCCAGGCUGUUUCUCACCCACCACUCUUGUCUAUCCUGGUUCUCAUUUCUAUGGGACUUUGCUAGAUGCCAGCUCUCCACAAAGCUAAAAUACAAAUGCAGGUAAAAUGCUAAUGACUGACAAGUGCAGAAUGUGUAACUCUUCCUCCCAAGGCAAUAUUUACAUUUCUGACCGGAGACCAUCUUUUCACAUGCACCCCAAAAAGUAACUAAAGAUAGAAUUUUGAGAAUGUUGUAGACUAGUAAGAAAGAAACCUGGGGGCAGGGCUGUUCUGAGUGAGACCCUCAAAUCACGGAAGUGGCUGCUGCACACCCAGCUCAUUUCUCACCUCUCAGUCCCAAC